GUCAGAGUAGUACAUGUACUCCUUGUACACAUAUAUUUUUUUUUGAUUCCUGACCCAGUGAAGUCAGUAAUAGUAUCCCAGUCACAGGUGAACAAAUGACACUCAUGUUUGCUCUGCUAGUCAAUGCACCUGCCCAAACGCCAUCUCUUCUGAGAGGCCUUGUAUUAUCCCUUCAGCCAUGACCUGCACAGCACAACUUGGGGGGAUACCCUUCACAGAGAUGACCAUGUGCAUCGUGAGCCCCACCCCUGGAAUUGUGUGGUUUGCUGGCUCUGGUGACAGCUCCCUCCUCCACGUUUUCAUGGUACCUGAGGUCUUUCUCAUAAUAGUUUUCACACCUUGCCUCACAUGCUAUAUGAAAAUCCUAUUUCCCCCACUAUAGUAUGAAUUCCUACACUGGAGAGAAAGUGCUUUCUUCAUCUUUGUCUCAUGUUAAACCCAUGCAGAGUGACCGUGGGACGGUAAUACACCCUGUCUGUUGUUUUUCUAGUUGGAGCCUCUGCAACAUGCAUUCUGUCAGCCGUCCUCUUCUUCACCUACAUUUCCUCCCCUCCGCAUUCACCUUGUAU
Molecule: long non-coding RNA, 569 nt
Organism: Mustela erminea (ermine)
Lineage: Eukaryota; Metazoa; Chordata; Mammalia; Carnivora; Mustelidae
Exons: 3
Source: RefSeq, a predicted model, not a curated record